GCUGGGUGUGGUAAAGCACACCUGUAAUCCCAGCAAUUCAGGAGGCUGAGGUGGGAGGAUCACUUGAGUCUAGGAGUUCAAGGCUGCAGUGAGCUAUGAUUGUACCACUGCCUCCCAGCCUAGGUGACAGAGUAGGACCCCAUCUCUA
This 148-nucleotide non-coding RNA is filed under the name Gorilla gorilla gorilla (western lowland gorilla). The record is from Rfam by way of RNAcentral. Lineage: Eukaryota; Metazoa; Chordata; Mammalia; Primates; Hominidae.